GACGAACGCUGGCGGCGUGCUUAACACAUGCAAGUCGAACGGAAAGGCCCUGCUUUUGUGGGGUGCUCGAGUGGCGAACGGGUGAGUAACACGUGAGUAACCUGCCCUUGACUUUGGGAUAACUUCAGGAAACUGGGGCUAAUACCGGAUAGGAGCUCCUGCUGCAUGGUGGGGGUUGGAAAGUUUCGGCGGUUGGGGAUGGACGCGCGGCUUAUCAGCUUGUUGGUGGGGUAGUGGCUUACCAAGGCUUUGACGGGUAGCCGUCCUGAGAGGGGGACCGGCCACAUUGGGACUGAGAUACGGCCCAGACUGCUACGGGAGGCAGCAGUGGGGAAUAUUGCACAAUGGGCGGAAGCCUGAUGCAGCAACGCCGCGUGCGGGAUGACGGCCUUCGGGUUGUAAACCGCUUUCGCCUGUGACGAAGCGUGAGUGACGGUAAUGGGUAAAGAAGCACCGGCUAACUACGUG
Molecule: ribosomal RNA, 468 nt
Filed under: uncultured bacterium
Lineage: Bacteria
Description: partial 16S ribosomal RNA
Rfam family: Bacterial small subunit ribosomal RNA
Source: RNAcentral